GGGGAUGUAGUAGAGCUGGUCAACAACGCCGGCCUGUCACGCCGGAGGACGCGGGUUCAAAUCCCGUCAUCCCCGCCA
This 78-nucleotide transfer RNA is filed under the name Acetohalobium arabaticum DSM 5501. Its description in RNAcentral is "tRNA-Asp (GTC) (tRNA-Asp-GTC-1 1 to 3)". It matches the Rfam family "tRNA". Rfam says of the family: Transfer RNA (tRNA) molecules are approximately 80 nucleotides in length. Their secondary structure includes four short double-helical elements and three loops (D, anti-codon, and T loops). Lineage: Bacteria; Bacillati; Bacillota; Clostridia; Halanaerobiales; Halobacteroidaceae. The record is from RNAcentral. RNAcentral also lists the same sequence under 1 other name.